CCCUAUUAUUUUAGAAUGUUAAAUUUUUUGUACCUGAGUAGUAUUAGUUAUGUUCUUGAAACUUAAAGAAUUUGGCGGUAUCUCAUUCCGUCUAGAGGAAUCUGUCCCGUUAUCGAUAGUCCGCGUUGGACCUUACUUAUUUGAAUUUGGUUUGUAUACCGCCGUUUAUUGAUUAUCUUUUUAGGGUUUAUGUUAAUUUUCUGGUUUCUUUAUUUUGAUGUAUUUCAGGUCAAGGUGCAGCUUGUUUUUAAGUGGAAUGAUGGAUUACAUUGUUAUUUGUUUAUGGAUUGUUAAUUUUAAUAUUGGCAUGAAAUUGGAUUUAGUUGUAAUAGUUUGUAGAUUGUUAUUAUGAUAGUUGGUUCUGGGAUAUGUACACAUCGCCCGUCGCUCUCGUUUGUUUAUUAUAAUGAGAUAAGUC
Molecule: ribosomal RNA, 418 nt
Filed under: Occasitermes occasus
Lineage: Eukaryota; Metazoa; Arthropoda; Insecta; Blattodea; Termitidae
Description: partial 12S ribosomal RNA
Source: RNAcentral